CUCGUGUCCGUAUUAUGUAGUGACUCUGUAUAACUUUGGGCUGAUCGCACGGGCUCGUCCCGGCGACGUAUCUUUCAGGUGUCUGCCUUUAUCAACUGUCGAUGGUAGGUUACGCGCCUAUCAUGGUCGUAAAGGGUGAUGGGGAAUCAUGGUUCGAUUCUGGAGACGUAGCCUGAGAAACGGCUACCACAUCCAAGGAAGGCAGCAGGCGCGCAAAUUGGUCACUCCCAGAACAGGGAGGUAGUGACGAAAAAUAACAAUACGGGACUCUUUUGAGACCCCGUAAUUGGAAUGAGUACACUCUAAAUCCUUUAACGAGGAUCAAUAUGAAAGCAAGUCUGGUGCCAGCAGCCGCGGUAAUUUCAGCUCCAAUAG
RNAcentral lists this non-coding RNA (375 nucleotides) under Stegodyphus mimosarum. RNAcentral describes it as "Microsporidia small subunit ribosomal RNA". It matches the Rfam family "Eukaryotic small subunit ribosomal RNA", at positions 228 to 597 of the family's 1831-position model. Lineage: Eukaryota; Metazoa; Arthropoda; Arachnida; Araneae; Eresidae. The record is from Rfam by way of RNAcentral.